UACUGUUAUGUUCCGGGAUUCUGGCUGCUUGGUGGGAAUUCCUGUGCGCCCUUACCACCAUUUACCACCAGAGGGCGACAGGUUCCGGUGGGAGUGCGGUGCAUCAUCAUCCACAGCUGUUCGCGAUCAUCUUCAUCAGCGGCUCAGAUUUAAGGAGUUGGCUGCCAGCCCAGCGUCGCCUGAGUGUUAGCCAGUCAUGGCGAUCCCUUGAGGAGAUCCUAGUUGAUUUCCUGGUUUUUGAACCACCCUCGUGACGCCGUGGAAAGAACCCACAGGUUGCCCGAGUUUCCAGACUCACCUCUCCGUUGUUUGCAAUCAUCUCCUGGACUCCACGGCUGGCGGCCGCACCACUCCUCCGUUUCUCCACUGCACCCGAGCCUGCCUGUCCGCUCCCCGCCGCACUCCUCUGUUGUUUCUGGACCCACCAAGGACUGAGACACCGGACAAACAUUGUUUCCCCUCCAAGACUCCGUUCAUCUACUUCAAAUGAAUCAUUGUUGCUGCCACUGUCGUUUCCCCCUGGACCAGACCAUCCUGAUUCUCGCCGAUAAUUGUGUGAUCAUUAUUAAAUCAUUUAACACUGA
Molecule: long non-coding RNA, 584 nt
Organism: Fundulus heteroclitus (mummichog)
Lineage: Eukaryota; Metazoa; Chordata; Actinopteri; Cyprinodontiformes; Fundulidae
Exons: 3
Source: RefSeq, a predicted model, not a curated record